CGGGCAAGCCAUUCUCGACACGCUCGCCCCCCGAAAAAGUAAACAUGGCUACUGAAAAACAGAGAAGGAAAAGAAAAAAAAAUCGAAACGACGUCGCUAUUCGACAAUCCUCGCACAGGAACUGAAACGGUAGAUAACAGCGUUUGAUCAGAUGGUGAAUGCGAUGUCCUGAUGAUGCAUCUUCGUUCCGGAUUGCCUUGGGUCGGCUUUCAAUGCGGCGAACGAGAUGCGGUGUCCCGUGUGCCGCGCGGCGGAGGAAGGGGUCUGGAGGAGCUUCCUGACCAGAGCUCCUCGCGGCGGCAGGGCGGGUGCCCGCGCUGCCCAGGAAGAUGUGCCGGAGCCCGCCGUCCGAAUGGUGCAUCUACUAUCACCAAUGCCAACUCAGUUGGAUCUUGGGCGUAUCUGGGGGUUAAAUGGAUCAAAUCUCAAGAAGACUCAUGUUUGAACUUUAUCGGUCAAUAAGGGUGGCAAUAUUGGACAUGACUUGCUUAUGAGUCAACUGUCCCGAGGCAAGGUGAAAUAUGUAGUAGGUGCGAGCAUAUAGAAAUACCUGAAUCGAAAACCUCUUGGACCAAACUGAACUGGUUUUGGGCAAUUUUAGGGGGCGUCGGUCCAGCUCUUGGUUUCAUAAAAUUGGAACCAGUGAUUUUCGGUCCGAUUCUAGGGUGGAAACUAGACCACCCAGAUCGGACCGAUAAAUAUAUAAUAUAAGUAAAUUUUAAACCUAAACUAUAAUCUCCUCUCACGCCUCGCUUAUUCCAGAUGUUUCUUUUAUAUUGUUGCACUGAUUUAUCCAACUUGCUCCUUUUGCUCUUGCUUCUUUCUUUACUUUCUUUCUUUUUUCCUGCAAAGAUUCACUGAUUUUACCUCCCUCGCUUAUUUGUGCCUUCCUUAAACUUGCGAGUCCAUCAUUUAUGAAAAAAAGAGUCCACCGAAUCCUCCUCCUUUUUUCAAGCAUGCCCCUCCAAUCACAGCCCCAUCAUCUCUCAGUCUUCUUCACAAGUCUUGGACAUAAUAUUAGUUUCAAAUUAUGACCUGGAUUGACAUUUCAAUUGAUCCAAAACUUUCAGCCAAGAUAUGUGAAUCCACCAACUCUAUUGGACCAUUUUGACCGGUCUCAAGACCAAGUGGUCCAUUUCCUGAUUCCAAAAUGGGUAACCAGUCCUCCUAGUCCCAUUCCCAAUUCCUAGUUCUUGGGUGGGACCAGAUAGGUUCAGGAACUAGUCACCCUAAUGUGUAGGGAGAAUCACCAAAGAUGACAUGACAUGCUACGUUUGACUCAUAUACUAGGAUUAGAACAUGUUUUCGUCAAAUCAAUAAUCACUUAUUUUAUGAUGUUGUCAAUGAACACGAAUUAACACGAAUUGUACAUAUAGCUACUAUAUGAUGAUACAAAUUUCUAACCCUUGACGUAAUUUUCCGAUUAUCUCCAUUGUUUAUGAAUGCAUUGCUCCCCCUUGGUAAUCUUGUUAGACCAUACAUGUGAAAAGAAAACAUGUUUCACACAGUGACGACCUCUUGUUUAUCUUGUUUAGCAAAUCGAAAAUGCAACUUUAGGAAUGUAAUCAUUGUAAAGGCAAUUGGAGUCCUUUUCUAUCUCUAAUAUACAUUUUUUGGGUUAGCCUUAGUGUAGCAGUACAUGGUUGCUCCAUUGUAGUUGAGAUUACGAGUUCAAGCCACGGAAACAACCUCCGUGAGAAGCUAGAGGUAGGUUAUGCAUUUGAACUGCUCCUCGGACACUCGAUACGAGGAGCAUUGUGCACUGGAGCACUCUUUAUGUUUCUAGUAUGCAUUUCAUUCAUUGUCCACUUUGUCCUCAAUUUAGCUUUCUUGUGCACUAUAGAUUCUGUAUAAGGAAAAUGCUCAUCAUUCUCUUCCUAGGUCUAGCCUGAACUAAACAUAGCCGGACCUUUUGUAUGCUAAAGUAGUAUUAUUUGCAAGAAGGAUGCAUUACAUAUCUCCUUCAUUAUGCCUUUGUGAUUUAAUGAAAUAAUAGGUUUGAAGUAAUGCAUUGCUGUAAAAAAAAAAAAAAAAAUCACCUUAAAAAAAGUCAAAGUAACCUUCCAAGUUCAGCAUGAUCAGGUUGGUUGUUGGAGAAUUUGCAGCUCAAGAGUUGGACAUCACUUUUUCAAGUCACAUCAAUUGCAAGCAACCGGCUCUAUGGCAGGGCUGCUUGCACAAACCAAGGCUGGGACUUGGUCAGUUCAUGGGACUUGCGGGCUGUUCCAUGGGCUUCAUGUAGCUAGGCUUUGUGCAAUUUUUCCUUAAAUCAAAAAAUGAAAUAGUCAAAGUACAUGUUCCCCAAUAUUUGGAAAAAGCAAAAAAUAAAAGCCACUCCAAACAAAUUUUUAUACGACCAAAAAGUCAGUUUAUUGCUUGGAAAUUGUAGCAUAGGGGUAUAAUUUGUUCUUUCUCAUUGUUACACUCUCUUAUCCUGCACGAACAUUGACAAAGACAAGAUUUCUCUAGUAGAGCAUCAGACUAAUAUCAGAAGUGUCUUCUUGGACCACAAAUCUCAUACUUUUCAUCAAAAUCGCUUGUAAUAACCAUGCAUCACCUAGGUCAACUGAGGCCAGUAUGGUUGCUUUGGCUGUUUACUGAAAGCUGGUGUGGUUACUGGACAAUUAUAUAGAAAGUCCUGCUCUGAAUUGAUGCUAAAUUUGUUGUUACCCUUUAUGCCUUCUUUCCCUUGACCAUACAGAGGGAACAGUGGAAGAGGCCAAGUUUAUAUGAGAAACUGUUAUUCAGUAAGAUUUUAGACAAAACUAGUUACCCUGGCUACUCAUUACCUAUGCUUUUCUGUUGAAGUUGGAGAAGUUGGCUAGGAAAAGUUGAAUAGUUUCAGUAUUCAAAAGACAAAGUCGAGGGAGAUGUAUAUCAUUUUGGCAAUAUGAUUUGUUAAUUUCACCAUGUCAACAGCACAAUGAGUCAUAAAAAUAAUUUUUCAUUAGGUAUGAGAGACAAGGACUGCUGCUGGAGUACUUAUCCAAAGUGGUCAAUCAGUCAUAAUAGAAUGUUCUUCCCAUUUAUUAUUAUAGAGGGAGUGGUCUGGAAGUUGUAUUAUAGCCCUUGUCAUCGACAAUUGAGAAGAUUAUAGGCUUAUCUCGCUGCUAUAGUCUUAGAGUAUAGGCUUAUCUGGUGCUAUAGACUUCAUUCUGAGUUCAAUUAACUGCUGCCUUUUGCUUUAUUUUCUCAUUAUUCCUCUGUUUAUGGAAGAAGCUCUUUGAAUUGGUCAUGAUCUCUGUAUUUUGUUAUGCCAUUGUUUUGACCAUAAUAUAAUGAUUUUAUCUAUCUCUUGCGACCACAAUCUUGCCUCUAUAAUUGCGCUUCAGUUUUUCUUUCAUUGAUUUUACUCUUGGGUGAUAAUUGUACUGUCAGGUGAUAAUUGUACUGUCAUGCCUGUGACAUUGUCUAAUAGAUAGUUAUUUUCUCAAGUUGAAUAUUUUGUUGAUUUGUGCAGCAGCCACAAUCUGGAAUUUACCAGUACCUUGAUCAGGGAUGGCUCUUGAACGGAUUUGAAUCUCAUGCCAUAGAUAAUUGUUCUCUGUCGGAUACAAUUCAGCAUGAAAUUUAUUUUUGAGGAGCAAUUUCGACAUUGUAAUUGUGACCAUUUCAAAUAAAUGGCAUCAUAGUGCUAGGCUGCUAGCAAAUUUGUUGCUUUAGGGACCUUGUUUUCCCUCCUACUGAUAUCACAUAAUUUUGUAGCUUUGCUGAUCUCCAUCUGAACUCUUUUGUUAAGUAACAAUUUUUCUUGUCUAGAAUGGUUGUUUAGAUAGUGGCCUUUUGAUAUGCUAGGAAAAUUCAACUGGGAAGAAGUCCCUUUUAUGUCAUUACAAUUCGUUACAUUACUUUUACGUGGUGAUCAUGGUCUUUAUAAAAGGAUGCUUCAGAUUAAGCAAAAAAAUGUAUGGAUAUAUAAGUCUGGCGUCCUAUAUCAAUACUCAAAUGAAAAAGGGCUGAUGUGCAGACGAAAUGAAGUAAAUAUAGGAGGCAAGACUGCUAUAAGAAAAAAAGGACGGGGGAUAGUAAUGCAAGAGUGGUACUUUUCACUUCUGCAGGUCCUUCCUGCUUACAAAGAAGUCCCUUUUUUCACUUGGAAGUAAGUUCUGAUGGCCCGUGUGCUGACGAGUGUGCUACCUUAUCCUGUCAAUGCUCCACUGUGUCUUGGUAGAUACUGACAUAUUUAUGUGCAGGGAGCUUAUUUGGACCCUUAGCUGGUGCAGCUCCUGUGGAGCAGUCAUUGAAUUUACCAUCUCCACCAGUGCACACCAUGAUGCGUGCUGCAAACAACCUUUCCAGCUCAAGUGGCCUGCUACCAGCUGAGCAGACGGGUUUUCAAGCUGAAAGAUCUAGAACAGUCAAUAUCCAGUUGCCCGACGUUGGUGAAGUGGUGUUGGCUUUAAGUGCGGCUGUUCAGCCGGAAGAUGUAAUAGAUGGUCCCAAGGAUAUAAUGUCAGAUGGUGAGGAAUCCAUUGAGGUCCCAUCGGAGUGAUUGGACACCGGAAACAGGAUGGAAGGUUUGUUCCAAACUGAUCUCAUGGGUUGUGAAGAAGCUGCCUGGGCGAAUAAGUGAUUUCCUGAAGUAAAUGAUCAUGGUAUGGUAAAAACAGUUGGAAGCAAAAACCUUAUAUGCUUCAUUUAUGGUCUGUAAUAAGUCUGGUACCUGGGAACUUCUCAAUAAUUUCCAUAAUGCCGCUCAGCUAUAUGUUGAAACUCCGCAAUGCUCUAAUGUCUCUUGAGAACAUCAGUGAAUUUCAAUAGAACUUGCUGUUUUCGUAAAAUUCCUGGUAAA
This is an RNA transcript of Eucalyptus grandis, 4792 nucleotides long. RefSeq lists it as uncharacterized. The transcript is spliced from 5 exons. The record is from RefSeq and is a predicted model, not a curated record. NCBI's taxonomy places the organism in Eukaryota, Viridiplantae, Streptophyta, Magnoliopsida, Myrtales, Myrtaceae.